GCCAGCAUGGUGUAGUGGUCUGAGUGUUGGACUGUGACUCCAGAGAUCAGGGUUCAAUUCCCCACUUGAGCA
Molecule: non-coding RNA, 72 nt
Organism: Phrynosoma platyrhinos (Desert horned lizard)
Lineage: Eukaryota; Metazoa; Chordata; Lepidosauria; Squamata; Phrynosomatidae
Source: the annotation of a GenBank genome assembly